This 389-nucleotide ribosomal RNA is filed under the name uncultured Lachnospiraceae bacterium. Its description in RNAcentral is "bacterial SSU rRNA". It matches the Rfam family "Bacterial small subunit ribosomal RNA", at positions 355 to 759 of the family's 1533-position model. Lineage: Bacteria; Bacillati; Bacillota; Clostridia; Lachnospirales; Lachnospiraceae. The record is from RNAcentral.
UGGGGAAUAUUGCACAAUGGGCGAAAGCCUGAUGCAGCAACGCCGCGUGAGGGAAGACGGUUUUCGGAUUGUAAACCUCUGUUUUCGGUGACGAACAAAUGACGGUAACCGAGUAGGAAGCCACGGCUAACUACGUGCCAGCAGCCGCGGUAAUACGUAGGUGGCAAGCGUUAUCCGGAAUUACUGGGUGUAAAGGGAGCGCAGGCGGGAUAGCAAGUCAGCUGUGAAAACUAUGGGCUCAACCCAUAAACUGCAGUUGAAACUGAAUAGCUAGAGUGCAGGAGAGGUAAGUGGAAUUCCUAGUGUAGCGGUGAAAUGCGUAGAUAUUAGGAGGAACACCAGUGGCGAAGGCGGCUUACUGGACUGUAACUGACGUUGGGGCUCGAAAG